Molecule: ribosomal RNA, 465 nt
Filed under: uncultured bacterium
Lineage: Bacteria
Description: partial 16S ribosomal RNA
Rfam family: Bacterial small subunit ribosomal RNA
Source: RNAcentral
GACGAACGCUGGCGGCGUGCUUAACACAUGCAAGUCGAACGGAAAGGCCCGUUUUGGGGUAUUCGUGUGGGGAACGCGUGAGUAACACGUGAGUAAACUGCCUUUGUCUUCUGGAUAACUUCAGGAAACUGGCGCUAAUACCGGAUAGGAAUUCUCGCUGCAUGGUGGGGGUUGGAAAGCUUCGGCGGUUCUGGAUGGAAUCGCUGGUUAUCAGCUUGUUGGUGGGGUAGUGGCUUACGAAGGCUUUGACGGGAAGCCGGCCGGGGAGGGCGACCGGCCACAAUGGGACUGAGACACGGGCCAGGCUGCUACGGGGGGCAGCAGAGGGGAAUAUUGCACAAUGGGCGGCAGCCUGGUGCAGGAACGCCGCGGGCGGGAUGAGGGCCUUCGGGUUGUAAACCGGUUUCAGCAGGGGCUGAGCUUGUGGUGACGGUACCUGCAGAAGAAGCACCGGCUAACUACGUG